Molecule: ribosomal RNA, 667 nt
Filed under: uncultured Alphaproteobacteria bacterium
Lineage: Bacteria; Pseudomonadati; Pseudomonadota; Alphaproteobacteria
Description: bacterial SSU rRNA
Rfam family: Bacterial small subunit ribosomal RNA
Source: RNAcentral
AUGCCUAACACAUGCAAGUCGAACGAGACCUUCGGGUCUAGUGGCGCACGGGUGCGUAACGCGUGGGAAUCUGCCCUUGGGUUCGGAAUAACAGUUAGAAAUGACUGCUAAUACCGGAUGAUGUCGUAAGACCAAAGAUUUAUCGCCCAAGGAUGAGCCCGCGUAGGAUUAGCUAGUUGGUGAGGUAAAGGCUCACCAAGGCGACGAUCCUUAGCUGGUCUGAGAGGAUGAUCAGCCACACUGGGACUGAGACACGGCCCAGACUCCUACGGGAGGCAGCAGUGGGGAAUAUUGGACAAUGGGCGAAAACCUGAUCCAGCAAUGCCGCGUGAGUGAUGAAGGCCUUAGGGUUGUAAAGCUCUUUUACCCGGGAUGAUAAUGACAGUACCGGGAGAAUAAGCUCCGGCUAACUCCGUGCCAGCAGCCGCGGUAAUACGGAGGGAGCUAGCGUUAUUCGGAAUUACUGGGCGUAAAGCGCACGUAGGCGGCUUUGUAAGUUAGAGGUGAAAGCCCAGAGCUCAACUCUGGAAUUGCCUUUAAGACUGCAUCGCUUGAAUCAUGGAGAGGUCAGUGGAAUUCCGAGUGUGGAGGUGAAAUUCGUAGAUAUUCGGAAGAACACCAGUGGCGAAGGCGGCUGACUGGACAUGUAUUGACGCUGAGGUGCGAA